UAUUGGACAAUGGGGGAAACCCUGAUCCAGCAAUGCCGCGUGAGUGAAGAAGGCCUUAGGGUUGUAAAGCUCUUUCAGCGGGGAAGAUGAUGACGGUACCCGCAGAAGAAGCCCCGGCUAACUCCGUGCCAGCAGCCGCGGUAAUACGGAGGGGGCUAGCGUUGUUCGGAAUUACUGGGCGUAAAGCGCACGUAGGCGGUGGCGCAUGUCAGAUGUGAAAGCCCUGGGCUUAACCUAGGAAUUGCAUUUGAAACUGCGUCGCUAGAGGCCGGAAGAGGGUAGUGGAAUUCCCAGUGUAGAGGUGAAAUUCGUAGAUAUUGGGAAGAACACCGGUGGCGAAGGCGGCUACCUGGUCCGGUUCUGACGCUGAGGUGCGAAAGCGGGGGGAGCAAACAGG
Molecule: ribosomal RNA, 397 nt
Filed under: uncultured bacterium
Lineage: Bacteria
Description: bacterial SSU rRNA
Rfam family: Bacterial small subunit ribosomal RNA
Source: RNAcentral